CACGUAGGGUGCGAGCGUUGUCCGGAAUUAUUGGGCGUAAAGAGCUCGUAGGCGGCUUGUCGCGUCGUCCGUGAAAACCCACAGCUCAACUGUGGGCUUGCGGUCGAUACGGGCAGGCUAGAGUUCGGUAGGGGAGACUGGAAUUCCUGGUGUAGCGGUGAAAUGCGCAGAUAUCAGGAGGAACACCGGUGGCGAAGGCGGGUCUCUGGGCCGAUACUGACGCUGAGGAGCGAAAGCGUGGGGAGCAAACAGG
This 253-nucleotide ribosomal RNA is filed under the name uncultured bacterium. RNAcentral's name for it is "partial 16S ribosomal RNA". It matches the Rfam family "Bacterial small subunit ribosomal RNA", at positions 524 to 776 of the family's 1533-position model. The record is from RNAcentral.